UAGGGAAUCUUCGGCAAUGGACGGAAGUCUGACCGAGCAACGCCGCGUGAGUGAAGAAGGUUUUCGGAUCGUAAAGCUCUGUUGUAAGAGAAGAACGAGUGUGAGAGUGGAAAGUUCACACUGUGACGGUAACUUACCAGAAAGGGACGGCUAACUACGUGCCAGCAGCCGCGGUAAUACGUAGGUCCCGAGCGUUGUCCGGAUUUAUUGGGCGUAAAGCGAGCGCAGGCGGUUAGAUAAGUCUGAAGUUAAAGGCUGUGGCUUAACCAUAGUACGCUUUGGAAACUGUUUAACUUGAGUGCAAGAGGGGAGAGUGGAAUUCCAUGUGUAGCGGUGAAAUGCGUAGAUAUAUGGAGGAACACCGGUGGCGAAAGCGGCUCUCUGGCUUGUAACUGACGCUGAGGCUCGAAAGCGUGGGGAGCAAACAGGAUUAGAUACCCUGGUAGUCCACGCCGUAAACGAUGAGUGCUAGGUGUUAGACCCUUUCCGGGGUUUAGUGCCGCAGCUAACGCAUUAAGCACUCCGCCUGGGGAGUACGACCGCAAGGUUG
This 550-nucleotide ribosomal RNA is filed under the name uncultured bacterium. Its description in RNAcentral is "bacterial SSU rRNA". It matches the Rfam family "Bacterial small subunit ribosomal RNA", at positions 355 to 896 of the family's 1533-position model. The record is from RNAcentral.